UUUUAACUUCAUAUUAUAUUUUUCUAACCAAAGAUAUUUGGGUUCAUUUUUUUUAACUUUUUUUUUUUUUUUUCAGUUUUCGGCGGACACUUCUUUGUAUGUGGUGCUGAGGAUCAAACCUGCGCCACACACAUGCCAGGCAAGCACGCUACCGCUUGAGCCACAUCCCCAGCCCAAACCAAAGAUAUUUGGGUUCUUAAAUCUCUGUGAUCUAAACUUAUGGCUGUUGUUUCUUCUGGACUUUCACAAAUGGUGGAUUGUUUACUUGUGUAUCUAGUGACUCACAACUGUGAAAUUAUAUAUUAUUGA
RNAcentral lists this long non-coding RNA (309 nucleotides) under Ictidomys tridecemlineatus (thirteen-lined ground squirrel). RNAcentral's name for it is "lncRNA (ENSSTOG00000034952.1)". Lineage: Eukaryota; Metazoa; Chordata; Mammalia; Rodentia; Sciuridae. The record is from RNAcentral.